This 572-nucleotide ribosomal RNA is filed under the name uncultured Glomeromycotina. RNAcentral's name for it is "SSU rRNA". It matches the Rfam family "Eukaryotic small subunit ribosomal RNA", at positions 541 to 1125 of the family's 1831-position model. Lineage: Eukaryota; Fungi; Glomeromycota. The record is from RNAcentral.
UUSGAUUGGGCAAGUCUGGUGCCAGCAGCCGCGGUAACUCCAGCUCCAAUAGCGUAUAUUAAAGUUGUUGCAGUUAAAAAGCUCGUAGUUGAAUUUCGGGAUUGACACAUCGGUCGUGCCUUAAGGGGUAUGAACUGGUGUAGUCAGUUUCUCACCUUCUGGAGAACCGCGAUGUCCUUAAUUGGGUGCCGCGAGGAACCAGGACCUUUACUUUGAAAAAAUUAGAGUGUUUAAAGCAGGCAUUUUGCUUGAAUACAUUAGCAUGGAAUAAUAAAAUAGGACGGAUGGUUCUAUUUUGUUGGUUUCUAGGAUCACCGUAAUGAUUAAUAGGGAUAGUUGGGGGCAUUAGUAUUCAAUUGUCAGAGGUGAAAUUCUUGGAUUUAUUGAAGACUAACUACUGCGAAAGCAUUUGCCAAGGAUGUUUUCAUUAAUCAAGAACGAAUGUUAGGGGAUCGAAGACGAUCAGAUACCGUCGUAGUCUUAACCAUAAACUAUGCCGACUAGGGAUCGGACGAAGUUAAUUUUAUAAUGACGCGUUCGGCACCUUACGGGAAACCAAAGUGUUUGGGUUC